Non-coding RNA from Prunus avium (sweet cherry), 523 nucleotides. Lineage: Eukaryota; Viridiplantae; Streptophyta; Magnoliopsida; Rosales; Rosaceae. The record is from RefSeq and is a predicted model, not a curated record.
GCCCCGUAAAACAGGCAUCAAAAGGGAAAUAGACGAAGCUCUAAGACCAGGUGUAUAUGCUUUAAUAGAUACUUGCUCAGCAGAUGAUCUUCAACGCCUUCAUACCUUAUUUGGAGAGGGUCCUUGCAGAAACACUCUGGCCACCUUGAAACAUGAUUACGAACUCAAUUUCCAAUACCAGGGAAAAGUCUAAGGGAAGCUUAUUCCUAUGUGGGCUAUACUGGCAUCGUCAUUUUGAUGCGACUUAUACAACUCUUCUAACAUGUAAGUUGUAACAAAUAUUACAUGCAAUGUAUGUGAUAAUAAAUUUUGUAGUCAUAUCUUUCUCAUUUUCGAAGCUACAAUGGGUAGCAUCCUCAUGGAAAUGGAAGUAACAAAGCUGUCUGUUAGUAAUAGGGACUCGGGUCUAACAGAACAGAUGGGAAGGCGGGUACUUUUUGUGUAGCUCUAUUUUGAGGGACUUGAGCCUAACAUAUGUACCUUCCUUGGUUUUGCAUUGUUCCGUGUUAAUUUAUACAUUCAA